RNAcentral lists this long non-coding RNA (1031 nucleotides) under Heterocephalus glaber (naked mole-rat). Its description in RNAcentral is "lncRNA (ENSHGLG00000048132.1)". The record is from RNAcentral. Lineage: Eukaryota; Metazoa; Chordata; Mammalia; Rodentia; Bathyergidae.
AUAAUUCUCACCCCAUCUCCUCCUCAAGCCUCGUUUAGGAAUCUUCACUCAUUCUACAUUCACAUACUCUCAAAUGUUGAAAUUAUCUCCACAUAGCAACUGGUUAACCUGAGUCUUUCCAUCUCUUUCCUCAGAAUGUCUUUUAAUCAACUAUCCAUUUCUCAUUUUAUUGCAACAAUCCUUCUUCAUUCCUGGACAACUUUGAUAAUUUUAAAGUCUCCUGGCUUGAAGACAUUUCACUCUACAGUCUGCCUUAUAUGCCACCAUGAGUAAAUUAGUCUUCUUUUCUCAUCAUGCUGGUCUCUCAAUAAAAAUAUUCAGGAGCAUCUGCACAGUACCAUACAAAAAGUCUGUUUCAUUUUCUCAGAAGAGAAUUCCAUCCUUCUCCUUGGGAUGCCGCAAUUGGAGGGUGUGGACCCCGAAAUCCUGGAGGCCUUUGGUAGCUCUUGCACCUUAGGGUUCUGCACCGCGAGCGCGCGAAGCCCACACCUCCACCCUGCCUCCUGAAGCGGAGCGGCUGCUCUCUAUCCUGGCUCUGCAGACCUCCAUUCAAUAGGAAGCCUUGAGGCCAGCAGCUGCCCGCUAAGGCAGGUGACUACCAAGUGACAUUUGACGUUAUUCAUCCAUUUCUCUCUCUACACAGAGAUGGGGGAAGGGAGGCGGUGGAGCGGAGGGCGUGGAGAAGACUCAGGGCGGACGGGAAGCAGCAGUGCAGUGCGCCCCGGAAUCGCACCUCUCUGCAGCCCAGCGGCUGCCCAGGCUGCCCCCACCAGCCAGGCGCCUCGUCGCAAUUCCCCAGCUGUCUGCUCGCUACCUGCCUGGCUCGCCCGCUCAGAGCUGCUCCCCUGGGCCUCUCUCCAGCUCGGCAGUGGGCUGCGUCAGCAUCACGCCACACCGUCUCCGUUGGCCCGGCGAUCAACGCCUGACGGCCGGCCCUCUCUCCCCUCUCCGCUGGGGCCAAUGGGAGUCCGGGGAAGGUUUUGGUUACAAAUGAAAAUAAAAUAAAUAAGUCAUACUCCCGCACUCAGGAG